Molecule: ribosomal RNA, 417 nt
Filed under: uncultured Flavobacteriaceae bacterium
Lineage: Bacteria; Pseudomonadati; Bacteroidota; Flavobacteriia; Flavobacteriales; Flavobacteriaceae
Description: bacterial LSU rRNA
Rfam family: Bacterial large subunit ribosomal RNA
Source: RNAcentral
CAAUAGCUAAACAAGAGCGUAUGGGGGAUGCCUAGGCUCUCAGAGGCGAUGAAGGACGUGAUAAGCUGCGAAAAGCUGCGGGGACGGGCACAUACCGAUUGAUCCGCAGAUAUCCGAAUGGGGCAACCCGGCAUGUUGAAGACAUGUCACCUAUUUAUAGGAGCGAACCCGGAGAACUGAAACAUCUAAGUACCCGGAGGAGAAGAAAACAAAAGUGAUUCCGUUAGUAGCGGCGAGCGAACGCGGAUUAGCCCAAACCAGUAUUGUUACGGCAAUGCUGGGGUUGUAGGACCACGACAUUGGUUGUGUAAUGAAUCAGAAUCCUUUGGAAAGAGGAACCGAAGAGGGUGAUAGUCCCGUACGAGUAAAGAUCAUAAACCAUAGGGGGAUCCUGAGUAGCGCGGGGCACGUGUAACC